This is a long non-coding RNA of Papio anubis (olive baboon), 4882 nucleotides long. NCBI's taxonomy places the organism in Eukaryota, Metazoa, Chordata, Mammalia, Primates, Cercopithecidae. The record is from Ensembl.
CAUAUUUUGGUCGUAGAAGACUGGUUCAAUAUACAGUUACGCGUCGCGUUAUGAUGGGUAUGGGAUGCUCUGAGAAAUACGUGGUUAGGCGAUUUCGUCCUGCUAACAUCAUAGAGUGUACCUUCCCAAACCAAGGUGGUUCAGCCUACUACACACCUAGCUAUAUGGUAGAGCCUAUUGCUUCUAGGCUACAGACCUGUACAGCAUGUUACCCUGCUGAAUACUGUUGGCAAUUGGAAAACAAUAGUAAGAAUUUGUGUGUCUAAACAUAGAAAAGGUACAGUAAAAAUACCGUAUUAUAAUCUUAUGGAACCAUCGUCAUACACAGAAUCUGUCGUUGACCCCAACAUCAGUGAGCAGUGCAUGACUGUACAUAUUUUUAAAAUGAGUGGAGAGGCAGAUGGUGGUGAUGUGUGUUUCUUCCACUGCCACCCUAUUACAGAUGUUUUCUGUCCCUGAUGAGACACAAGGUGAGGAGCUUCUCUCUGCUGGCAGAGCACUGCCCAAAUGAAGAACUUUCUCACCUCUUUCAGUAUUGUGUAGUUUCAAUCCUCACUCUUUCCCUUACUGCACCGUUAGGAAGUCCAAAUGGGUUUGAAGAAAGAAAAAUGAAGAAAAUAAAUUAAAUUAUGACAUUGAAAAAAAAGCACAAAUGCAUAAAGGCAAGAACACAUCAGAAAAUUACCUGCGAAUGCCUUAGGAAAUGUGCACAGGUAUGGGCAAGUUAGUAUAUAAAUACAAUAACCUCUGCUUCAGGAGACUUUCUGCAGACCUCUCGUAAGUGGCAUUUAAUGAGAAUAAUUACUAAAAUAGUUAACAUUUGCAUGGCUAUACUACACAUAAUAAUAAUAAUAACUAACAUUUACAUAAUGCUGACUAUAUGCCAGGUGUUGUGUUAAGUACAUUAUAUAUAUAUUAAUGAUGUACAUAUUAUAUCAUUUAAUCCUCACAGCAACCUUAUGUGAUGGGCAUUCUCUGAUCCAGAUUUUACAGAUGAAGAGGCUGAGGUACAGAAAAGUGACACACACCCAUGGUGAUACAGACUCACAAUUACUUGUUGCAGAUCAUACAGCUACUAAAUCUGCAAUCUGCAAGAUGAUCUCCUGGAGAGAUUUGGUUCCAACUUGUGCCAUCUCUGGCCCCUCUGCUGAAGUUUCCAAUAAUAUGGAAAUGCCUGUUGAGGAAACAGGGAGCAGCACAGGUCUUCUAAAUUCCACCAGUACAUCUGCUUUUGGCUCACUCUCAACCAAGUAACUGAUACAUCUGACUUCAGAGACAAGCAAUUAGCCCAGUUGUACAGGGCUCUGUGCUGAGAAGCUGGCCCACACUUGGGGCUUAAUGCUUUGUGGUUGCUGUCUUGAAAUUCUUAAUAAUUUUCUCCUUGAAUUUGCAUUUUGUAAAUGAAGUCUGGUGGUGAAAUAGAUCCAUGUGCUGGGGAUUGGACCCUCAGUUUACAUGUGGUCCACCUCCUGCUGCCUUUGUAAUGGGAGCACAAUAUUAAAUGGCAAACAAAACGAAACAAAACAAAAAUAAAAACACUUUGUUGGGUUGGGAGAGAGAUUACAGAGGAAAGGACAAUGACUUUUUGCUUUUUUUUGGGCAAGUGGCUCUGCACAUUUCUUUUGCACCAGGCUCUGUAAAUUAUGCAGCCAACACUUAAUGUAUCAAAUGAAUAUCUGCUUCCAAGCAUUUAUGUGACUACAUUUUCCCACUUAGAAUCCCCUCCCAUAAUUCUGUGUAUUCAACUCCUGCUUACUCUUUAAUGCCGAGUUCUAGUUCCAUUUAUCUUAAGAAGUUUGGUCACUGAUAACUUAUUACGAUGAACUCUUUUUAAGAGAGUUCACUUUAUCAUAUGAUAAAUUAGUAUCACUAUAUUGGGAAGAGUAAUGAGACACUUGUUUUCUGUCAGAAACUUGCAAUUAACUAUUGUAUGCAGCAGGGGUGAAGGUGGGGAUGGGGGUUGAUAUUCAAAAUACUGGAUGCCUUGUUCAGCAGGAGCAUGGAACAAUCAAAAUUGAUGUUGGCUGCAGAACUGAUGCAGGGUCUUAGAAGUCCCCUGUUGUGCUGGUUAUCACUUUCAUAGUUGCUAGAUGAGGACCUAGGGGGUUCCAAGGGAAGGCCAGGCACAGCUGGGACAGCAGGGCGACAUUUGAGAUCAGCAGCUACUUACCAACUGACAUGGAUGUGUAGUCUGGCAUUCUGGAAGGUCAUACUGUAGCAUCCCGGUUAAACGUCAGCCCUACUGGUUUGACUCACUGACAAGAUUCUCAGUGGCGUCUCCAGUUCUUAGUUCCUUCAACUGUCAAAUGAGUAGGUUAUAAUAAGAAAUCAAACCCUCAACUAUUGAUUACCUGUGAUGGUCAAGACUCUGUGCUAGGUAAUGUUGAGAUUCACUGAUACAUAGAUUCUGUCCACCAGAGGUUUCUAAUCAAAUCUACCCUUGGAAAUAAGAUGUACAUAAAUGAUUGAUAUGAGGUAGAAAGUAUCCUAGGAAAGAAGCAGAUGAGCUGCUGAUGGGGUUGAAAGAACUGAGAAAUUACUCUGUUUUGGUGGAAAUGACAUUGAUCUGGGAAAGCCUUGAGAAAAGUGUGGCCAAUAAUCUGGAUUUUGAAAUAUAAGUGAUAUUUUAAAACUCAUGACUAUAGAAAGGAAAGUCAGAAAGGACCAAAGGAAUGCCCACUGUGGACCCCCGUAGCUCUAGAAUCCUGUGCAUCUUUACUUCCGGGCUUUAUUUUUUCCUUUCUGUGUAUGUCCUAUGUACGUCAAUCAGGUUUGAAGUUUCUCAAGUGUCUCUAGUUUUUGUUCCUGGCACAUGCUCAGUAAAUGCUUGAUGAUUACAAUGACAACUGCCUUCUAAAGCUUUAUGAUCUUCAUGAAAAUGGAGACAUGGUGUGUCAAGAUUAUCAUCUCGGAUCAUGGCUAAUGUCUGGAGGGUGAAUCUUUUAUAAUCAGAAUCAUCUGAGAAUGGGCUGGAGUGUGUAUUUGUGUGUGUGUAUGUGUGUGUGUGAUCUUACUGAACACUAAGAUUGUAGGUUUUAAACACAAGCCUUGACUUCAGGUGUGCUUUGUGGUCCCAACAGAGAAGUCAUCAUAACAGGGCUUAAGUAUCAAGAAUAAUAUUAUUGUUUAAGAUAAAAAAUAUACACAUCUGUUGAUUAGGCAUAGAAGUAUGUGGAUAUUAUUCAAUAAAAGCAGGGCCAGAAUAUCUCUCAAAUGGAGUCAAGAAUUUUUGGUUGUUUCUCAAAAACCCAUUCAUUUGCCUUCUGGGCUAGGUUGUAGCUAGGCCUGUUGCACUGAAGUCUCAGUGAUGGAGGAAUAAGUAAAAAGUAGAAGACUGUCACUGUGAUGAAGCAAGGACUUUGUCUUAUGAUGAUAAGGGCUUGAAUGCUGAGCUGGCCUCUUUACCCUUGCCAAGCUCACCAUGGUAUACAUGGCAGCAUGCCUGCAGUUUUGAGCUCCUCUGCCCUGGUGAAUUCCUUGCUUCACACUGGCUGCUGAGGCCAUCAGACUUUGGGUAGGCUUCUGGAGCAAUAAGGGUGAAAGUCAACAUAUACAUUACCACUAUGAGUGUUUGAUCUCAUGCAAAUCUGCUGCAUGGCCCAUUUACUGAUUCAAGAUUAAAUGAAGUCGCAGCAGCUGAACUGAUUCUGGCUCCUUUGCUCAUUCUUGAACGUGGAUUAGCCUUUGAGCACUGGCCUAACUCACUUCCACCAUUUGUGAAGUCCCAGCUCUGGGAUUGUAUCUGGGGUGAGCAGCAGAAAUAUAGACAGAACCAAAGAUUUAGAAUGUGUUAGAUUAUCUCCAGUUCUGCUCUUAGAAGAGGUGCUCUUGUGAUUUUAUUCAACACCAUGGCUUGAUAGAAUGGUGGGGAAAUGUCGAUUCCCUCUAUUCUAAUCUUUUGUUCAUCAGGUAAUUUUUUGAUUUAUCAUGAAGGAUAACCUGGGCAAGGCACAUAGUUCUCAGGCUCACUCUUACAGACUUAUGUAGCUCCUAAAACUAUUGCAGACUUAGGUGUUCAAUUUUGAACUCUAAGAAAGGUUGGUAGGGCCUGAACUUAGUUAUAGAGAAUUUGUUCAUGUCAAAAGUUUGUGGUGAGCCAUCAAAUAAUGUCUGGUUGGCAUCAUACCCAUUGGAUGGGAUUUUGUGUGGCGGGACACAAAACUGACUGACACGUUAGAAUAAUGUGAUUUCAGGAGCUCUAGGGAAGCCUAUUGCUCAAGAAAACCUUUCCCCAGCUUCUGUUUAAUUUCUGAAAUACUCCAGAGUAUCCUCCCUCAAGUGGGUAGCUUUUAGCCCUGUUGAAUUCUUCAUGAGGGGGUUGAUAGUUCUUUUUGUUUGUUUGUUUUGAGACGGAGUCUCGCUCUGUCGCCCAGGCUGGAGUGCAGUGGUGUGAUCUCGGCUCACGGCAAGCUCCACCUCCCAGGUUCACACCAUUCUCCUGCCUCAGCCUCCCGAGUAGCUGGGACUACAGGUGCCCGCCACCACGCCUGGCUGUUUUUUUUUUUAAUGUAUUUUUAGUAGAGAUGGCAUUUCGCCGUGUUGGCCAGGCUGGUCUUGAACUCCUGACCUCAAGUGAUCCACCCGCCUCAGUCCCCCAAAGUGCUGGGAUUACAGGCAUGAAGCUCUGUGCCCAGCCCAAUAAUUCUUUAUAUUUGUUGGUCAAUAAAGUGCCUAAGAGCAUUGAGAAAAAUUGAGGAGAAUGACACCAGAGGCGACAGGACCAGAGAAGAACUUCUGGGUUAAAGAUAGCCCAACUUCUCACUCUCUCUUUAUUUAUUUGUGGCAAAUAUAAAUACCACCAGUGCAAAUACUAGCACAAUUAUUCUACGUUACAAGAUUAACGGGUAACUCUAAAAGUUUGAUCAUGUCCCUACAUCUUGGG